RNAcentral lists this ribosomal RNA (253 nucleotides) under uncultured bacterium. RNAcentral's name for it is "partial 16S ribosomal RNA". It matches the Rfam family "Bacterial small subunit ribosomal RNA", at positions 524 to 776 of the family's 1533-position model. The record is from RNAcentral.
UACAGAGGUCCCAAGCGUUGUUCGGAUUCACUGGGCGUAAAGGGUGCGUAGGUGGCGCGCUAAGUCGGGUGUGAAAUCCCGGGGCUUAACCUCGGGACUGCAUUCGAUACUGGCGUGCUUGAGGACUGGAGAGGAGACUGGAAUUUACGGUGUAGCAGUGAAAUGCGUAGAGAUCGUAAGGAAGACCAGUGGCGAAGGCGGGUCUCUGGACAGUUCCUGACACUGAGGCACGAAGGCCAGGGGAGCAAACGGG